CAUGUUCUGCUCUGAGGCUGUGUGAAGCUGUGAGGUCACAAAGCACCACAGUGAUGUGCUGGGUGCUGGGGCACAGGCACUAUUCCGGCACUUGCAGUCGCUGCUGCACUGGUGGUGGCAGUAUUGCAUGUGUGUUGGUGACCAUGGUCCCAGGACACCUCCUCCUCCUCUUCUUCCUCGUGGCCUUGGAGGCCUCUGGCAUCCAGGCUGCUCCAUGGCGAAGAUCGAGAGCAGAUGUGCCCCCAGAGAGGGCUUUUCCAGCCCUUCCGCGGCCUCCUGCGCUUGAUCCACUUGACCCACGCUGGCAUCCCAGAGCUGUGCUUGUUGGUGAUAAGUACAGAGUUCUGUGGCCUAGUCCUCCUCAUGUGCCUCAGGGUGAUUCUGAAGAGGGAUGGACUUGGAAGUGAGAUGGCAUCAGGUUACACUUA
Molecule: long non-coding RNA, 428 nt
Filed under: Gallus gallus (chicken)
Lineage: Eukaryota; Metazoa; Chordata; Aves; Galliformes; Phasianidae
Description: long non-coding RNA NONGGAT002352
Source: RNAcentral